RNAcentral lists this ribosomal RNA (429 nucleotides) under Bacteroidota bacterium. RNAcentral's name for it is "Bacteroidetes bacterium partial 16S ribosomal RNA". It matches the Rfam family "Bacterial small subunit ribosomal RNA", at positions 355 to 776 of the family's 1533-position model. Lineage: Bacteria; Pseudomonadati; Bacteroidota. The record is from RNAcentral.
UAGGGAAUCUUCCGCAAUGGACGCAAGUCUGACGGAGCAACGCCGCGUGAGUGAAGAAGGAUUUCGGUUCGUAAAACUCUGUUGUUAGAGAAGAACAGCGCAUAGAGUAACUGUUAUGCGUGUGACGGUAUCUAACCAGAAAGCCACGGCUAACUACGUGCCAGCAGCCGCGGUAAUACGUAGGUGGCAAGCGUUGUCCGGAUUUAUUGGGCGUAAAGCGAGCGCAGGCGGUCAAUUAAGUCUGAUGUGAAAGCCCCCGGCUCAACCGGGGAGGGUCAUUGGAAACUGGUUGACUUGAGUGCAGAAGAGGAGAGUGGAAUUCCAUGUGUAGCGGUGAAAUGCGUAGAUAUAUGGAGAAACACCAGUGGCGAAGGCGACUCUCUGGUCUGUAACUGACGCUGGGGUUCGAAAGCGUGGGUAGCAAACAGG